UUCUUAAGCCUUUACACUUUUGUUUUAGUCAAUGGUGGUUUGUGGGUAUUGUAUAAAACUUGUUUUAAAGAAGAAGAACCUAAUUACCCAAAACUGAAAUCUACAACAGAUGGUCCCUUUUUAUCAGAAUAUCAGUUGAUUUGACAAGAUUGUUUUGUUUCAUGAGAAAAUGGGUCCUAGAUUUCAGGUCUGCCUUUUUGUGAUUUUCAUUCAAAUUUUGGUUGUAGCAGCAUCUACCAACUCAAUUGAUGGUCACGAGUCAAUGACUGCUUGACCAUCCGUUCAGGAAGCCCACUGUAAGCGUUCUGGAGGUCAAGUCUAGAAAGGGUCUUUAGCCGAGCUACCCUUUUAAAGCCUACCAAGUUAUUUUGAGUGCCUCCGAGUUGGGGCUAGGACUAGAAGGCCAUUGUCAAGCUUUUGAUUGUGAAGUAAACUUUUGUUAUGUGCAUAUGUUAUGUAUAAAAUGUUAAGUUACAAGUUAUGUACAGAAUGUGGGUAAAUUAAUGUUUUUGCAUAUAAAUAUUUGUUCAUAUA
This is a non-coding RNA of Camellia sinensis, 534 nucleotides long. The record is from RefSeq and is a predicted model, not a curated record. NCBI's taxonomy places the organism in Eukaryota, Viridiplantae, Streptophyta, Magnoliopsida, Ericales, Theaceae.